RNAcentral lists this ribosomal RNA (280 nucleotides) under uncultured bacterium. RNAcentral describes it as "partial 16S ribosomal RNA". It matches the Rfam family "Bacterial small subunit ribosomal RNA", at positions 71 to 339 of the family's 1533-position model. The record is from RNAcentral.
AUGAGGUAGCAAUACCUUGAUGGCGACCGGCGCACGGGUGCGUAACGCGUAUGUAACCUACCUUUAACAGGGGGAUAACAGUCGGAAACGGCUGCUAAUACCGGAUACGCUCAAAAUGAACUUUUUGGGGAAAGGUGACCUCUGCUUGCAAGUUACCGCAUGAGGAUGAGUCCGCGUCCCAUUAGCUUGUUGGUGGGGUAAUGGCCUACCAAGGCAACGAUGGGUAGCCGAUUUGAGAGGAUGAUCGGCCACAUUGGGACUGAGACACGGCCCAGACUCC